UACGUAGGGACCAAGCGUUGUUCGGAUUUACUGGGCGUAAAGGGCGCGUAGGCGGUGCGGUAAGUCACUUGUGAAAUCUCUGAGCUUAAUUCAGAACGGCCAAGUGAUACUGCAGUACUAGAGUGCAGAAGGGGCAAUCAGAAUUCUUGGUGUAGCGGUGAAAUGCGUAGAUAUCAAGAGGAAUACCUGAGGUGAAGACGGGUUGCUAGGCUGACACUGACGCUGAGGCGCGAAAGCCAGGGGAGCAAACAGG
This 253-nucleotide ribosomal RNA is filed under the name uncultured bacterium. RNAcentral describes it as "partial 16S ribosomal RNA". It matches the Rfam family "Bacterial small subunit ribosomal RNA", at positions 524 to 776 of the family's 1533-position model. The record is from RNAcentral.